This 164-nucleotide ribosomal RNA is filed under the name uncultured bacterium. RNAcentral describes it as "partial 16S ribosomal RNA". It matches the Rfam family "Bacterial small subunit ribosomal RNA", at positions 355 to 511 of the family's 1533-position model. The record is from RNAcentral.
UAGGGAAUCUUCCACAAUGGACGAAAGUCUGAUGGAGCAACGCCGCGUGAGUGAAGAAGGGUUUCGGCUCGUAAAACUCUGUUGUUAAAGAAGAACAUAUCUGAGAGUAACUGUUCAGGUAUUGACGGUAUUUAACCAGAAAGCCACGGCUAACUACGUACNCG